Non-coding RNA from Camellia sinensis, 1420 nucleotides. NCBI's taxonomy places the organism in Eukaryota, Viridiplantae, Streptophyta, Magnoliopsida, Ericales, Theaceae. The record is from RefSeq and is a predicted model, not a curated record.
CUUGAACCCAAUGAGGAUCCUGACAUGCCUCCUUGUAAGACUGAGAUUCUGAAAAAGAGUGAAUAGCAGACAAAAAAGUACGAUAGGAAGUAGAAAAACACGUAUUAGACCAACCCAACCUGUUUGAAGGAUGAUGCGCUCGAGUAGGAUAUCGGUGUUCAGCAAGAUCGGUGUCGUCAGAAGCAGGAGGGGUAGAGACAACCGGUGGAGGAGAAACCUUAUGACGAGAAUAAACUAAUAAUAGAGGAGGAGAAGAAGCCUAAGGAGGAGAAGCAACUAGAGGUGAAUUAGGAGGAGAAGACAGAACAAGCUCAGGAGGAAUAGUGGAGAUGUAUUCAUCAGACGAGACCUCCGAAGGAAAUGGAUCAAUGAGAACCAAAUCCUAUUUGGAAACUGGAGCAAUGAGAGGGGGAAGCUGCAAGUAAGUCUAACGUUCAAGAAAGGCAACAUGACAGGAGACAUAAAGGCGACGAGUGACAGGAUCAUAGCAGCGGUAGCCUUUCUAAGUAAGACUGUAACUCAAAAAGACACACAAGACAGACCGGGCGCUAAGUUUGGUCCUAUCUUUUACGAGGAAGGAGGACAAAACAAGCAGACCCAAAGACACGCAGGAGGGAUAAUUGGGAGGUUGGGAAUACAGAGCCUCAUAAGGGGAUUGGCUGGCGAGUAAAGGAGUCGGCAUGCGAUUAAGGAGGAAAGCAGCUGUAAGAACUGCCUCACCCCAAAAUGGUGCCGAAACAGUGGCAAGGAGAAGAAGAGAUCAAGCUGUCUCAAGGAGAUAACGGUGUUUACACUCAGUACGACCAUUUUGGGCAGGUGUAUCAGUACAGGAGGUUUGGUGAAUGGUGCCCAAUUUAGUUAAAUACUCACAUAAUUCAGUUUUAAAUUAUUCCCCACCCAAGUCAGACCGGAGUAUUUUAAUUGUGGCCCCAAACUGUGUAGUGAUCAUUGAUUGAAAGGUACAAUAUAUCUGGUAGAAGUCAAAUUUAUGAGCCAUAAGAUAAACUUAGAUAUAACGGGUACAAUCAUCAACAAAUGACAUAUAAUACGCAGAACCCCCUUUAGUGAGAACAGGAAAAGGUCCCCAGACAUCAAUAUGUACAAGAGAAAAAGGGGAAGCAGAAAUAGAAGUACUGUUAUUAAAGGGCAAAGCUGUCAUUUUAGUAAGUUUACACCCUCGACACUCAUUAAUUUGACUAGGAGAAACUUUACCUAACAAUCCUGACUGAGCUAAAGACCGCAAGCGGUCAACAGACAAAUGACCUAAGCGAGAAUGCCAUAAAUAAAACUGAAGUAAGGAAAGGUGAGGAGUCAUAUGAUGAGAGGCACCAGAAUCAAAAAGCCACACAGAUGAAGGGAUACCUGAAGAGGAUCCAAGCAAACCUGAAUGAGGAGAGGUGAGAGCAGAGGCAGAUGAAGA